UUUCCUUUUGUAAACUCUUUUAUUGUGGUGCUUGUUCCAGUCAAGGGACUUGGAACAAGGGAAAGGCGUCCCAAGCCUAAGAGAAAUUGGAGGUUUUAGGGUUUGUUGUGAGCCCGGUGUAAAACAACGAGUUGGGUAGUGAACUCGCAAAACUACCGUACUGUAAUCUUGGAUUAUAGUGGAAAUUCCCAAAGGCGCUUUGGGGAGUGGAUGUAGGAGCAGUGAAGGCUCCGAACCACUAUAAAACCGUGUGUUUGUGGUUGUCUCUUCUUAUCUCUUUAUCUUUAUUUUAGUUCAUAUAUUUGUGUGUUUUAUUUUUAAUUAGGCAAAAAAUUUUUAAAACACCCAAUUCACCCCCCUCUUGGGUGACCAUCUCUGGGCAACAAUCACCUAGCUAGAAAAUUUGUUAGAGAGAUAAAUGGUCAUUAAAAGGA
RNAcentral lists this long non-coding RNA (434 nucleotides) under Phoenix dactylifera (date palm). RNAcentral's name for it is "long non-coding RNA (PDAC_LNC015464)". Lineage: Eukaryota; Viridiplantae; Streptophyta; Magnoliopsida; Arecales; Arecaceae. The record is from RNAcentral.